GUCAUGAUGAGCGCUGUGAACAUGACCUGACCUGUACGCUGCUGCCUUUAUUGGAGUUGAAACCUCAUCACCUGGACUGGAUCCAGCUGCAAACUCAGAGGUGGAAGUGUAUGUGUUUGUUAUGGAUCUGCUGUUUUCAGGUUUUGAGUUGGUCUUCAUCAUCAUUGCAUUUACUAUCAUGUGCUUAUUUGGCCUGGCUGCUAUCUGCACACACAAUACAGAUCAUCAAGAUGACUACAUUCAAACAGAACAGAAGAUGAUGCGACAAAAGAACACCUCAAAGAAAAAACAGAGAGUCAUCACCAAAACCAAUCAAGAGCUUCCAUGAACACAAACAAACACAAAUACAGAAUCCUUCCACUGGUGCUCAACGGAUAGAUAGGACUGGCUCACCAAAUGCAGAUAACCAGCGGACAAACGGAAGAUCUCUGACACUGCUGUCGACUUCAUAUAUCCUUAGAGCCUCAAGGCCAGCUGAUUGGCUUGAAUGUAUGACCCCAAUAAGUAAUUAAACAGUAAAGAAAGAUAAAGACGAUUUAUUGAAAUCAAAUCCCCUCCACUUUCUUUACCUAGAUCUGCUUAUCACUUGUAAUACAAUGAUUUAAACCCUGUCUGGAGGAGCCUUCUUUUUUUUCACGCAGCUUAUGCUUUGCUGGGCAAAAUGCGGUAACACUUAAUUUCUGUUAUCCACUUUAAACAUUCUACUAAUAGUAAGUAACUUUGCAACUACAUGUCAACUAGCAGUUAGUAGAGUAUACUAAACCCUAAACCUACUCUAACAGUCUACUCAUGUAGUUGCAAAUUAAUGAGAAUUAGUCGACAUGUAGUUACAAAGUUAUUAACUGUUAGUAGAAUGUUUAAAGUGGACUAUCGAAAUAAAGUGUAACCCAAACGGCUUCAAAAAGUCUCAUGGUGGUGGUAGCCUUUGGCAAGAAAAACUGCAAAAUAUGUUAAUGAAUGUAUAU
Carassius auratus (goldfish) is the source of this 965-nucleotide long non-coding RNA. RefSeq lists it as uncharacterized. The record is from RefSeq and is a predicted model, not a curated record. NCBI's taxonomy places the organism in Eukaryota, Metazoa, Chordata, Actinopteri, Cypriniformes, Cyprinidae. The transcript has 3 exons.